RNAcentral lists this ribosomal RNA (2912 nucleotides) under Sexangularia sp. CB-2014. RNAcentral describes it as "partial Bacterial large subunit ribosomal RNA". It matches the Rfam family "Bacterial large subunit ribosomal RNA". Lineage: Eukaryota; Tubulinea; Elardia; Arcellinida. The record is from RNAcentral.
AGGGCGUAUGGGGGAUGUCUUGGCAUCAGAUGGCGAUGAAGGGCGUGGAAGACUGCGAUAAUCUUGGGGAAGUUGUCAAACGAGCGUUGAUCCCGAGGUUCCCGAAUUAUCAUAUACUGAAUACAUAGGUAUAUGAGGCACACGCGGUGAACUGAAACAUCUCAGUAACCGCAGGAAAGGAAAGCAACAGCGACUUCGUUAGUAGCGGCGAGCGAAAGCGAAUCUAGCCUAAACCGUCUUGCUUCGGCAAGGCGGGGUCGUGGGGCUUGUCAUUGUGGAGUUACAAAACUGUUUGCUAGAAGAAUUCGUUGGAAAGCGAAACCAUAGAGGGUGACAGUCCCGUAUUUGAAAGUAAACAGACUUCCGACAGGUACCCGAGUAGGUCCGGCCACGUGGAAUCCGGACUGAAUCUGGGAGGUCCAUCUCCUAAGGCUAAGUAUUCUCUGAUGACCGAUAGUGAAAAGUAGGGUGACCGAAAGAUGAAAAGAACCCCUGUUAGGGGAGGGAAAGAACCUGAAACCAUACGCUUACAAGCUGUCGGAGCACUAUUAUCUUCGGAUAAGUGUGACGGCGUGCCUUUUGCAUAAUGAUCCGGCGAGUUACCGUCAAUGGCUCGAUUAAGGCCUUCCGGGCCGUAGUCUCAGCGAAAGCAAGUCUGAAUAGGGCGUUUUGUCAGUGGCGGUAGACGCGAAACCAGGUGAACUACCCAUGAGCAGGUUGAAGCGCGGGUAAGACUGCGUGGAGGACCGAACCCACCUAGGUUGAAAACUGGGGGGAUGACUUGUGGGGAGGAGUAAAAGUCUAAUCAAACCUGGAGAUAGCUCGUUCUCUCCGAAAUAGCUUUAGGGCUAGCCUUGAGCCACUACGUAAUGGGGGUAGAGCACUGAUUUGGACUGGGGCCCUUCCCGGGUACCCACCCUAGUUAAACUCCGAAUACCAUUGCGAUUAUCUCAGGAGUCAGUCCACGAGGGAGAAGCUUCGUGGUCGAGAGGGAAACAACCCAGACCGCCUGCUAAGGUCCCAAAGUCUUGCUAAGUCACUAAGGAUGUUAAGAUACUGUGACAGCCAGGAUGUUGGCUUAGAAGCAGCCAUCAUUUAAAGAAAGCGUAACAGCUCACUGGUCUAAUUAAGCUGUCUUGCGGCGAAGAUGUACCGGGGCUAAAGACAUGUACCGAAGCUGUGGAUGUGCACUUUGUGCACGUGGUAGCGGAGCGUUCCGUAAGCCGCUGAAGGUGUGGCGUGAGCCAUGCUGGAGGUAUCGGAAGUGAGAAUGCUGACAUGAGUAGCGAUAAAGAGUGUGAGAGACACUCUCGCCGAAAACCCAAGGGUUCCUGCGCAAGGCUAAUCCGCGCAGGGUGAGUCGGCCCCUAAGGCGAGGCUGAAAAGCGUAGUCGAUGGGAAACAGGUUAAUAUUCCUGUACUUGGUGUUACUGCGAAGGGGGGACGGAGAAGGCUAUGUUAGCCGGGCGACGGUUGUCCCGGUUUAAGCAUGUAGGCGGAGGUUCCAGGUAAAUCCGGUACCUUUUAACGCUGAGGUGUGAUGACGAGGCACUACGGUGCUGAAGUAACAAAUGCCCUGCUUCCAGGAAAAGCCUCUAAGCAUCAGGUAACAUUGAAUCGUACCCCAAACCGACACAGGUGGUCAGGUAGAGAAUACCAAGGCGCUUGAGAGAACUCGGGUGAAGGAACUAGGCAAAAUGGUGCCGUAACUUCGGGAGAAGGCACGCUGAUAUGUAGGUGAAGUCCCUGCGGAUGGAGCUGAAAUCAGUCGAAGAUACCAGCUGGCUGCAACUGUUUAUUAAAAACACAGCACUGUGCAAACACGAAAGUGGACGUAUACGGUGUGACGCCUGCCCGGUGCCGGAAGGUUAAGAGGAGGUGUGCAAGCACCGAAUUGAAGCCCCGGUAAACGGCGGCCGUAACAAUAACGGUCCUAAGGUAGCGAAAUUCCUUGUCGGGUAAGUUCCGACCUGCACGAAUGGCGUAACGACUUCCCCACUGUCUCCAGCAUAGACUCAGCGAAAUUGAAUUCUCCGUGAAGAUGCGGAGUACCCGCGGUCAGACGGAAAGACCCCGUGCACCUUUACUACAGCUUCAGAGUGGUAUUAGGGAUAACAUGUGUAGCAUAGGUGGGAGGCUUUGAAGCCGGGACGCCAGUCCUGGUGGAGCCACCCUUGAAAUACCACCCUUGUUGUUCCUGAUAUCUAACCACGUCCCGUGAAACCGGGACUGGGACCCUCUGUGGCGGGUAGUUUGACUGGGGCGGUCGCCUCCCAAAUAGUAACGGAGGCGCGCGAUGGUAGGCUCAGAUCGGUUGGAAAUCGAUCGUUGAGUGCAAUGGCAUAAGCCUGCCUGACUGUGAGACUGACAAGUCGAACAGAGACGAAAGUCGGUCAUAGUGAUCCGGUGGUUCUGUGUGGAAGGGCCAUCGCUCAACGGAUAAAAGGUACGCCGGGGAUAACAGGCUGAUACUGCCCAAGAGCUCAUAUCGACGGCAGUGUUUGGCACCUCGAUGUCGGCUCAUCACAUCCUGGGGCUGAAGUAGGUCCCAAGGGUAUGGCUGUUCGCCAUUUAAAGUGGUACGCGAGCUGGGUUUAGAACGUCGUGAGACAGUUCGGUCCCUAUCUGCCGUGGGCGCUGGAGAAUUGAGGGGGGCUGCUCCUAGUACGAGAGGACCGGAGUGGACGCAUCACUGGUGUUCGGGUUGUCAUGCCAAUGGCAUUGCCCGGUAGCUAAAUGCGGAAGAGAUAAGUGCUGAAAGCAUCUAAGCACGAAACUUGCCCCGAGAUGAGUUCUCCCUGAGACUUUAAGUCUCCUGAAGGAACGUUAAAGACGAUGACGUUGAUAGGUCGGGUGUGUAAGCGUAGCGAUACGUUGAGCUAACCGAUACUAAUGAACCGUGAGGCUUAACC